AUGAAUAAAGCACUUGCAAUUUUGGAAAUGACAAUGGGUAUAUUUAUAACAUUAACUAAAGCUUAUUUAUUUCUCUUCAUUUCUAUCACAAUAAGAUGGACUUUACCAAGGAUGAGAAUGGAUCAGUUAUUAAAUCUUGGAUGGAUUUUUUUACCUAUUUCCCUGGGCAAUCUCUUAUUAACAACCUCUUCUCAACUUGUUUCACUAUAA
This 210-nucleotide ribosomal RNA is filed under the name Triticum aestivum (bread wheat). Its description in RNAcentral is "partial small subunit ribosomal RNA". The record is from RNAcentral. Lineage: Eukaryota; Viridiplantae; Streptophyta; Magnoliopsida; Poales; Poaceae.